This 299-nucleotide small nuclear RNA is filed under the name Neotoma lepida (desert woodrat). Its description in RNAcentral is "7SK RNA". It matches the Rfam family "7SK RNA". From Rfam's summary of the family: 7SK was discovered as an abundant small nuclear RNA in the mid-70s but a possible function has only recently been suggested. The record is from Rfam by way of RNAcentral. Lineage: Eukaryota; Metazoa; Chordata; Mammalia; Rodentia; Cricetidae.
GGGUGCUCUGGUUGUGACAUCUUUCACCCCAUUGAUUGCCAGGGUUGAUUCAGCUGAUGUGACUGGCUAGGUGGGUGUCUCCUGAAGCCUGGUGCUCAGUCAAAGAGGAAGACCUUCCCUGAAUAGAGGAGGACUGGUUGUCUGUCAAGAGUAUUUGUGUGGCUGUGCCUGUCCUGCUAGAACCUCCAAACAAGCUCCUAAGCAUNACAGUUAACUAUGUCUAAUAGUUUGUUACAACAAUAGAGAUAACAGGGAGUAUAGCAAGAACCUUUGAACAUGUUGUGUGCUGAUGUUGAACA